This 492-nucleotide ribosomal RNA is filed under the name uncultured bacterium. RNAcentral describes it as "partial 16S ribosomal RNA". It matches the Rfam family "Bacterial small subunit ribosomal RNA", at positions 29 to 507 of the family's 1533-position model. The record is from RNAcentral.
AGUGAACGCUGGCGGUAGGCCUAACACAUGCAAGUCGAACGGCAGCACAGUAAGAGCUCGCUCUUACGGGUGGCGAGUGGCGGACGGGUGAGGAAUACAUCGGAAUCUACUUUUUCGUGGGGGAUAACGUAGGGAAACUUACGCUAAUACCGCAUACGACCUACGGGUGAAAGCAGGGGAUCUUCGGACCUUGCGCGAUUGAAUGAGCCGAUGUCGGAUUAGCUAGUUGGCGGGGUAAAGGCCCACCAAGGCGACGAUCCGUAGCUGGUCUGAGAGGAUGAUCAGCCACACUGGAACUGAGACACGGUCCAGACUCCUACGGGAGGCAGCAGUGGGGGAUAUUGGACAAUGGGCGCAAGCCUGAUCCAGCCAUACCGCGUGGGUGAAGAAGGCCUUCGGGUUGUAAAGCCCUUUUGUUGGGAAAGAAAAGCAGCAGGUUAAUACCCCGCUGUUCUGACGGUACCCAAGGAAUAAGCACCGGCUAACUUCGUG